This is a long non-coding RNA of Bos taurus (domestic cattle), 1458 nucleotides long. The record is from Ensembl. NCBI's taxonomy places the organism in Eukaryota, Metazoa, Chordata, Mammalia, Artiodactyla, Bovidae.
AGCAGUAUUGGCCCACCGGGUGAUUCACAAGGUUCCAACACAAGCCGCCAGAGAAAGGGAGCUAUCAAGAUUUUGGUGAUGAGAGAAACUGUAGCACAUGGUCUAUAGAUCUCCAUGCAGUUUGUUCAGUGGCUUGAACAAUGCAGUGAGUAUUCCAACCCUGAAGAACUGGGAAAGGAGAGAGAUGAAGAAAUCCAGGAGGGAGCCAGAAAUCAGCAGCUGACACAAUGCUUACCUGGAUACAUUGAGCCUCCAUCCACUGUCCUACCAGCAAUUCCAGUCUUUUCCAGGAUACUCCUUCCCAAAUAGGCUCUCGAAGGUUCUCUCUUCUUGAACGAUGGAGAAGGAAAUGGCAACCCACUCCGGUAUUCUUGCCUGGAGAGGCCUACGGAUAGAGGAGCCUGGUGGGCUGCUGUCCAUAGGGUCACACAGAGUCGGGCAUGACUGAGCAACUUCACUUUCACUUUUCACUCUCAUGCAUUGGAGAGGAAAUGGCAACCCACUCCAGUGUUCUUGCCUGGAGAAUCCCAGCCUGGUGAGCUGCUGUCUAUGGGAUCGCACAGAGUCGGACACAACUGAAGCGACUUAGGAGCAGCAGCAGCUUCUUGAAAGAUGCCCUUCAGUGCUUCAUUCCUGCUUCAACUAAGUUCUGCUGGUACUUCAGUUUCCACUUGCAAGGGCCUUUGGAAGCCUUUCCCGACCUCAAGAUUAAAGUCCUCCUCUCCCUGUACCCUAGCAGGGUAGUAGCUUGCUGUACAGCAACUGCUUGUUAACUUCUCGAUCUCCUCCAUCGCCUGAAAGCUCUUAGAGGACAGGAUUCAUGUACAGUGCAUUGUAUUCCCAGGAGUUAGGAGGGUCUAAUCCUUAUUAGCUACGUACAAAACAUCUGUUGAACAAACGGUUGCAAAUGAAUAGUAACUUAAAGAAAGGCUACAUUUCUGAGGUAAUGCUAAUUGCUUGUAGGAUAGUUAAAUGUCAGUAUUGAAACCUAAUCUUUAGCUGCUGUCUUGCAGAUAAAACGGAUGUUCACCAAGUAUGUAUUUUGUAUUUUGUUGCACUGUACACCCCAACUAGUAAGCCGAGGAAUCGACAUGUGUUAGAUAAUUGUACUGUUUCUAAAAACCACAAACUGAGAAUGAUAAAUAAUCAAUUCAGUUUAGUAUUUACUAAUUAAAAAAAAAAAGUAUUUACUAAUUUUACCACACUCUUUUGUUAUGUAAUGUAGGGGAGUCAUAGGGAUUAUGCAUUCUAUUUGAGUAAACUUUAAAACCAAAUAUUUUAUGGUAAAGAGCUUUUAAGGUAGCCAAAGCACUGAUAUGAUAUAUCUGCUGUAAAGAGAACUGCAAGAGUUUUAUUUAUAUUUCUGAUGUUAAAAGUUACUUAAUAAAGACUUGUUUCCAUUAAAAAAAAUAAAGACUAUAUCAUGUUCAGUACCAUAACUUUAAGAAAAUAGAAGUA